GCGCUGCAGGAGGCGAGCCGGGAGCGAGGGGCGUGGACGUACCCAGGGUCCCGCCCACCGCGGAGCGGCUCCAGCUUCGUCUGGAGAGCGGCUGGAAGCGGCUAGGCUAUUUCGGGCUGGUCUCUGCCGGAAGUGGUGGUUCCUGGUGCUUGUCUCACAGUCUCUGGACACCGCCCUGUAGCGACCGAGGUACCGGGGCUGGGUGAUCUCAGACCUACCCCGACGGCGUGCCCCGGCCACAUGCCCUCCCUCAUCCCUCCGACUUUAUCCAGCCGGGGGGCGGGGGGGCCUGCUCUGGAAGGGAACUCGGGUUCGUCCGUGGUGGGGGAACCAAGAUCCCACAUGCCGCAGGGCAACUAAGCCGGCAGGCUCUAGAGUCGGAGCGCCACAACUAGAGAGAAGCCAGCGCUCUGCAACGAAGGAUUCCUCAUGCCACAAGAUCCUGGGCUAAGAAACUAAACCAGACACAGAAAACUGCGGGUGUGCGAAGACAGGGUCAGCUAGCCAGCUCUGAGCCCUGGGAGCACCUGAAACUCCAUUUAAAACUGUCUCCACACACUCAGCUACUUUUCUAACUUCUUGAGAUGAAAGUUUAUCACACUUUCAACUUUUUUUCCUAAGAUAUGCAUAUAAGACUAUAAAUUUCUUCUAUGUACUGCUUUAGCUGUACCCCAAAGUUUUGGGAUAUAGUACUCUCAUUAUGUGUCAAAUAUUUCUAAAUUCCCAUCUGAAUUAUUCCUUGAUCUGUUUGCUAUUUAAAAGUGUGUUUCUUAAUUUCCAAAUAAAUAGGAAUUUUCCGGUUUUUUGUUUGUUUUCAAUUUCUAGAUUAAUUGCAUUAUGGUUGGAAAGUAUAUUCUGUAUUAUUUUAGUCCUCUGAAAUGUGUUGAAAUUGCUUUAUGGAUCAGUGUAUAGUCAUUUUGUGUAAAUGUUCUGAAUGUGCUUGAAAAGAAUGUGUGUUCUUCAGGGUUCUAUAUGUGUAAAUCAAGUCAUUUGUUAAUUAUAUUGUUCAAAUCUUCCAUAUCCUUACUGAUUUUUUGUCUACUUGUUCUAUCAGUUACUGAUAGAGAAGUGUUAAAAUUUUCUGUUGAUUGUAGAUUUUCUAUGUCUCUUUGAUGUUCUAUCAAUUUUUGCUUUACUUAUUUUUAGGCCAUGUUAUUAGGCAUCUAUCAAUUUAGAAUUGUUAUAUUUUCCUGUGGAAUUGACUAUUUUUCUUUAUGAGGCAAUCUUUAUUUUAAAGGAUUGGCUCAAAGUCUACCUUGUCAGACAUUAAUAUAUAAAUUAUCUUUCAUUUGAUUAAUAUUUGUAUAUGUAUAUAUAUAUGUCUUUUUCUACCCAUCAACUUUCAAUAUUUCACCAUCCUUAUGUUUUAGAUAUGUCUCUUUUAAGUAAGUGUUAUUAGAUUUUUAAAAAUUCAAUCUGACAAUAUUUGUCUUUUAACUGGAAUAUUCAAACAUUUAAUAUAAUUAUGGAUUUGCAUGUAAUGUAAUUAUGCUUAAUGCAACUAUGGAUUUGUUUGGAUUUAUAUCUACCACCUUAUUUUGUACUUUCUAUAUG
Long non-coding RNA from Balaenoptera acutorostrata (minke whale), 1554 nucleotides. RefSeq lists it as uncharacterized. NCBI's taxonomy places the organism in Eukaryota, Metazoa, Chordata, Mammalia, Artiodactyla, Balaenopteridae. The record is from RefSeq and is a predicted model, not a curated record. The transcript is spliced from 3 exons.